Long non-coding RNA from Gorilla gorilla gorilla (western lowland gorilla), 536 nucleotides. RefSeq lists it as uncharacterized. Lineage: Eukaryota; Metazoa; Chordata; Mammalia; Primates; Hominidae. The record is from RefSeq and is a predicted model, not a curated record. The transcript is spliced from 3 exons.
UGUGGAGGAUGCCACCAGGCCAGACUGCAACUUCCCUGCGUGACUCCCCCGUGCUGGGCCUCUGUUUCCCCUUCUGUCAAAUGGGGAGUCACAGCGUCCAUCCUGCAGGGCAGAAAUAGGGUCUUGCUGCCACCCCUGAGUGCAGUAGUCCAAUCACAGCUCAUUGCAGCCUCCAACUCCUGGGCUCAAGUGAUCCUCCCGCCUCUGCCUCCACCUCCCCAGGAGCUGGAACUACAAGACCCAAUAUUGGUCCCUGAUCUGAUGAUGUUCACGGUCAAGACGGAAGCAAAAAAAGCACACACCAUGCGCCCUCGGUCACUAAUCACGCGGAGUAUACGCGAGGAGGGCCCGCAGCUAAGCGACGGCCGGCGGCCGAGCUUCCUCCACGGCCGGGGAGAUGGGCGAGGCCUCCGGGCCGCAGCCCCGGGUACGAGCGGAGGCUCCGAGGCCCCCGGUAGCCAGUCAGAAUUUAUUUUAAGGGAAAUGGAAAGCUGCGGCAGGCUUUGGGAGGAGGGGCAGGAUUAAAAGAGAAAGUG